GCCUCUAUGGUCUAGUGGUAAGAUACCUGCUUUGGGUGCAGGUGAUCCUGGGUUCGAACCCCAGUGGAGGCC
Molecule: transfer RNA, 72 nt
Filed under: Schizophyllum commune H4-8
Lineage: Eukaryota; Fungi; Basidiomycota; Agaricomycetes; Agaricales; Schizophyllaceae
Description: tRNA-Pro (TGG) (tRNA-Pro-TGG-2-1)
Rfam family: tRNA
About the family: Transfer RNA (tRNA) molecules are approximately 80 nucleotides in length.
Source: RNAcentral